Molecule: transfer RNA, 68 nt
Filed under: Provanna glabra
Lineage: Eukaryota; Metazoa; Mollusca; Gastropoda; Provannidae
Also listed under: 1 other name
Description: tRNA-Ser
Rfam family: tRNA
About the family: Transfer RNA (tRNA) molecules are approximately 80 nucleotides in length.
Source: RNAcentral
GGUUAUUAUUCCUGGGGAAAUAUUUGUCUUGAAAACAAAUUAAAAGUGUUCGAUUCACUUAGUAACCU